AAAUUGAAGAGUUUGAUCAUGGCUCAGAUUGAACGCUGGCGGCAGGCCUAACACAUGCAAGUCGAGCGGUAGCACAGAGAGCUUGCUCUCGGGUGACGAGCGGCGGACGGGUGAGUAAUGUCUGGGAAACUGCCUGAUGGAGGGGAUAACUACUGGAAACGGUAGCUAAUACCGCAUAACGUCGCAAGACCAAAGUGGGGACCUUCGGGCCUCAUGCCAUCAGAUGUGCCCAGAUGGGAUUAGCUAGUAGGUGGGGUAACGGCUCACCUAGGCGACGAUCCUAGCUGGUCUGAGAGGAUGACCAGCCACACUGGAACUGAGACACGGUCCAGACUCCUACGGGAGGCAGCAGUGGGGAAUAUUGCACAAUGGGCGCAAGCCUGAUGCAGCCAUGCCGCGUGUGUGAAGAAGGCCUUCGGGUUGUAAAGCACUUUCAGCGGGGAGGAAGGCGUUAAGGUUAAUAACCUUGGCGAUUGACGUUACCCGCAGAAGAAGCACCGGCUAACUCCGUGCCAGCAGCCGCGGUAAUACGGAGGGUGCAAGCGUUAAUCGGAAUUACUGGGCGUAAAGCGCACGCAGGCGGUCUGUCAAGUCGGAUGUGAAAUCCCCGGGCUCAACCUGGGAACUGCAUUCGAAACUGGCAGGCUAGAGUCUUGUAGAGGGGUAGAAUUCCGGUGUAGCGGUGAAAUGCGUAGAGAUCUGGAGGAAUACCGGUGGCGAAGGCGGCCCCUGGACAAAGACUGACGCUCAGGUGCGAAAGCGUGGGGAGCAAACAGGAUUAGAUACCCUGGUAGUCCACGCCGUAAACGAUGUCGAUUUGGAGGUUGUGCCCUUGAGGCGUGGCUUCCGGAGCUAACGCGUUAAAUCGACCGCCUGGGGAGUACGGCCGCAAGGUUAAAACUCAAAUGAAUUGACGGGGCCCGCACAAGCGGUGGAGCAUGUGGUUUAAUUCGAUGCAACGCGAAGAACCUUACCUGGUCUUGACAUCCACAGAACUUUCCAGAGAUGGAUUGGUGCCUUCGGGAACUGUGAGACAGGUGCUGCAUGGCUGUCGUCAGCUCGUGUUGUGAAAUGUUGGGUUAAGUCCCGCAACGAGCGCAACCCUUAUCCUUUGUUGCCAGCGGUUCGGCCGGGAACUCAAAGGAGACUGCCAGUGAUAAACUGGAGGAAGGUGGGGAUGACGUCAAGUCAUCAUGGCCCUUACGACCAGGGCUACACACGUGCUACAAUGGCAUAUACAAAGAGAAGCGACCUCGCGAGAGCAAGCGGACCUCAUAAAGUAUGUCGUAGUCCGGAUUGGAGUCUGCAACUCGACUCCAUGAAGUCGGAAUCGCUAGUAAUCGUAGAUCAGAAUGCUACGGUGAAUACGUUCCCGGGCCUUGUACACACCGCCCGUCACACCAUGGGAGUGGGUUGCAAAAGAAGUAGGUAGCUUAACCUUCGGGAGGGCGCUUACCACUUUGUGAUUCAUGACUGGGGUGAAGUCGUAACAAGGUAACCGUAGGGGAACCUGCGGUUGGAUCACCUCCUUA
This 1532-nucleotide ribosomal RNA is filed under the name Klebsiella pneumoniae. RNAcentral's name for it is "bacterial SSU rRNA". It matches the Rfam family "Bacterial small subunit ribosomal RNA". Lineage: Bacteria; Pseudomonadati; Pseudomonadota; Gammaproteobacteria; Enterobacterales; Enterobacteriaceae. The record is from RNAcentral.